RNAcentral lists this ribosomal RNA (489 nucleotides) under uncultured Kocuria sp. Its description in RNAcentral is "bacterial SSU rRNA". It matches the Rfam family "Bacterial small subunit ribosomal RNA", at positions 376 to 875 of the family's 1533-position model. The record is from RNAcentral. Lineage: Bacteria; Bacillati; Actinomycetota; Actinomycetes; Micrococcales; Micrococcaceae.
CGGAAGCCUGAUGCAGCGACGCCGCGUGAGGGAUGACGGCCUUCGGGUUGUAAACCUCUUUCAGUAGGGAAGAAGCGAGAGUGACGGUACCUGCAGAAGAAGCGCCGGCUAACUACGUGCCAGCAGCCGCGGUAAUACGUAGGGCGCAAGCGUUGUCCGGAAUUAUUGGGCGUAAAGAGCUCGUAGGCGGUUUGUCGCGUCUGCUGUGAAAGCCCGGGGCUCAACCCCGGGUCUGCAGUGGGUACGGGCAGACUAGAGUGCAGUAGGGGAGACUGGAAUUCCUGGUGUAGCGGUGAAAUGCGCAGAUAUCAGGAGGAACACCGAUGGCGAAGGCAGGUCUCUGGGCUGUUACUGACGCUGAGGAGCGAAAGCAUGGGGAGCGAACAGGAUUAGAUACCCUGGUAGUCCAUGCCGUAAACGUUGGGCACUAGGUGUGGGGGACAUUCCACGUUUUCCGCGCCGUAGCUAACGCAUUAAGUGCCCCGCCUG